Molecule: ribosomal RNA, 119 nt
Filed under: Triticum aestivum (bread wheat)
Lineage: Eukaryota; Viridiplantae; Streptophyta; Magnoliopsida; Poales; Poaceae
Also listed under: 1 other name
Source: RNAcentral
GGAUGCGAUCAUACCAGCACUAAAGUACCGGAUCCCAUCAGAACUCUGAAGUUAAGCGUGCUUGGGUGAGAGUAGUACUAGGAUUGGUGACCUCUUGGGAAGUCCUCGUGUUGCAUUCC